Molecule: long non-coding RNA, 318 nt
Filed under: Physcomitrium patens
Lineage: Eukaryota; Viridiplantae; Streptophyta; Bryopsida; Funariales; Funariaceae
Description: long non-coding RNA (PPAT_LNC011366)
Source: RNAcentral
GGUCUCCUUCCUCCCGACUAUAAUAUAUAGUUGAGCAAGAAUCAUUGGGUAUGAAGUAGUGUCUUGAACAAAAAAAACUUGUUCUGUGAUCACAUCUCCAACAUUUAUAAAUAUAAAGAUCUCUUCAUGUAUUAUUUGAUGCCCAAAUCAUCCAACCAUGGUUAAUAUCAAUGGGCCACCUUUCACGUUUAUAGACUUCUUUUGACAUAAUAUUAAUUUCAAAUCCAUGCUCAAUGAGAGCAAUUAUUAGUUCUACCAAGUCUUCCAUUUUUACUAAAGUCUCUGUGGUGGCUCUUGCUCAAUGUCCCUUCGUAUAGU